AGGUACGAUCAUACCACCACUAAUGCACUGGAUCCCAUCAGAACUUCGUUGUUACGCGUUCUUGGGCGAGAGUACUACUAGGAUGGGUCACCUCCUGGGAAGUCCUCGUGUUGCACCUC
This 119-nucleotide ribosomal RNA is filed under the name Lupinus angustifolius (narrow-leaved blue lupine). Lineage: Eukaryota; Viridiplantae; Streptophyta; Magnoliopsida; Fabales; Fabaceae. The record is from RNAcentral.